Molecule: ribosomal RNA, 465 nt
Filed under: uncultured bacterium
Lineage: Bacteria
Description: partial 16S ribosomal RNA
Rfam family: Bacterial small subunit ribosomal RNA
Source: RNAcentral
GACGAACGCUGGCGGCGUGCUUAACACAUGCAAGUCGAACGGAAAGGCCCUGCUUGCAGGGUACUCGAGUGGCGAACGGGUGAGUAACACGUGUGUGAUCUGCCCUGCACUUCGGGAUAAGCCUGGGAAACUGGGUCUAAUACCGGAUAGGAGCCAUUUUUAGUGUGAUGGUUGGAAAGUUUUUUCGGUGUAGGAUGAGCUCGCGGCCUAUCAGCUUGUUGGUGGGGUAAUGGCCUACCAAGGCGGCGACGGGUAGCCGGCCUGAGAGGGUGGACGGCCACAUUGGGACUGAGAUACGGCCCAGACUCCUACGGGAGGCAGCAGUGGGGAAUAUUGCACAAUGGGCGCAAGCCUGAUGCAGCUACGCCGCGUGGGGGAUGACGGCCUUCGGGUUGUAAACUCCUUUCGCUAGGGACGAAGCUUUUUGUGACGGUACCUAGAUAAGAAGCACCGGCUAACUACGUG